This 232-nucleotide ribosomal RNA is filed under the name uncultured bacterium. RNAcentral's name for it is "partial 16S ribosomal RNA". It matches the Rfam family "Bacterial small subunit ribosomal RNA", at positions 333 to 582 of the family's 1533-position model. The record is from RNAcentral.
CGUUGCCUACGGGAGGCAGCAGUGGGGGAUAUUGCACAAGGGGGGGAACCCUGAUGCAGCGACGCCGCGUGGGUGAAGAAGCGCCUCGGCGCGUAAAGCCCUGUCAGCAGGGAAGAAAAUGACGGUACCUGAAGAAGAAGCCCCGGCUAACUACGUGCCAGCAGCCGCGGUAAUACGUAGGGGGCAAGCGUUAUCCGGAUUUACUGGGUGUAAAGGGGGCGCAGGCGUCGAU